GAUGAACGCUGGCGGCGUACCUAAUACAUGCAAGUCGAGCGAAUGGAUUGAGAGCUUGCUCUUAUGAAGUUAGCGGCGGACGGGUGAGUAACACGUGGGUAACCUGCCCAUAAGACUGGGAUAACUCCGGGAAACCGGGGCUAAUACCGGAUAACAUUUUGAACCGCAUGGUUCGAAAUUGAAAGGCGGCUUCGGCUGUCACUUAUGGAUGGACCCGCGUCGCAUUAGCUAGUUGGUGAGGUAACGGCUCACCAAGGCAACGAUGCGUAGCCGACCUGAGCGGGUGAUCGGCCACACUGGGACUGAGACACGGCCCAGACUCCUACGGGAGGCAGCAGUAGGGAAUCUUCCGCAAUGGACGAAAGUCUGACGGAGCAACGCCGCGUGAGUGAUGAAGGCUUUCGGGUCGUAAAACUCUGUUGUUAGGGAAGAACAAGUGCUAGUUGAAUAAGCUGGCACCUUGACGGUACCUAACCAGAAAGCCACGGCUAACUACGUGCCAGCAGCCGCCGUAA
Molecule: ribosomal RNA, 515 nt
Filed under: uncultured bacterium
Lineage: Bacteria
Description: partial 16S ribosomal RNA
Rfam family: Bacterial small subunit ribosomal RNA
Source: RNAcentral